This 464-nucleotide ribosomal RNA is filed under the name Vreelandella stevensii. RNAcentral's name for it is "partial 16S ribosomal RNA". It matches the Rfam family "Bacterial small subunit ribosomal RNA", at positions 338 to 795 of the family's 1533-position model. Lineage: Bacteria; Pseudomonadati; Pseudomonadota; Gammaproteobacteria; Oceanospirillales; Halomonadaceae. The record is from RNAcentral.
CCUAGGGUGGCAGCAGUGGGGAAUAUUGGACAAUGGGGGGAACCCUGAUCCAGCCAUGCCGCGUGUGUGAAGAAGGCCCUCGGGUUGUAAAGCACUUUCAGUGAGGAAGAACGCCUGGUGGUUAAUACCCAUCAGGAAAGACAUCACUCACAGAAGAAGCACCGGCUAACUCCGUGCCAGCAGCCGCGGUAAUACGGAGGGUGCGAGCGUUAAUCGGAAUUACUGGGCGUAAAGCGCGCGUAGGUGGCUUGAUAAGCCGGUUGUGAAAGCCCCGGGCUCAACCUGGGAACGGCAUCCGGAACUGUCAAGCUAGAGUGCAGGAGAGGAAGGUAGAAUUCCCGGUGUAGCGGUGAAAUGCGUAGAGAUCGGGAGGAAUACCAGUGGCGAAGGCGGCCUUCUGGACUGACACUGACACUGAGGUGCGAAAGCGUGGGUAGCAAACAGGAUUAGAUACCCUUGUAGUC